RNAcentral lists this ribosomal RNA (446 nucleotides) under uncultured bacterium. RNAcentral's name for it is "partial 16S ribosomal RNA". It matches the Rfam family "Bacterial small subunit ribosomal RNA", at positions 338 to 795 of the family's 1533-position model. The record is from RNAcentral.
CCUACGGGAGACAGCAGUCGAGAAUCAUUCACAAUGGGGGAAACCCUGAUGGUGCGACGCCGCGUGGGGGAAUGAAGGUCUUCGGAUUGUAAACCCCUGUCAUGUGGGAGCAAAUUAAAAAGAUAGUACCACAAGAGGAAGAGACGGCUAACUCUGUGCCAGCAGCCGCGGUAAUACAGAGGUCUCAAGCGUUGUUCGGAAUCACUGGGCGUAAAGCGUGCGUAGGCUGUUUCGUAAGUCGUGUGUGAAAGGCGCGGGCUCAACCCGCGGAAGGCACAGGAAACUGCGAGACUAGAGUAAGGGAGGGGGAACCGGAAUUCUCGGUGUAGCAGUGAAAUGCGUAGAUAUCGAGAGGAACACUCGUGGCGAAGACGGGUUCCUGGACAUUAACUGACGCUGAGGCACGAAGGCCAGGGGAGCGAAAGGGAUUAGAUACCCCUGUAGUC